Molecule: ribosomal RNA, 253 nt
Filed under: uncultured bacterium
Lineage: Bacteria
Description: partial 16S ribosomal RNA
Rfam family: Bacterial small subunit ribosomal RNA
Source: RNAcentral
UACGAAGGGUGCAAACGUUGCUCGGAAUUAUUGGGCGUAAAGCGCACGUAGGCGGCUUUUCAAGUCCCAUGUGAAAUCCCACGGCUUAACCGUGGAAGUGCAUGGGAAACUGGAAGCUUGAGUACUUAAGAGGAUCGCGGAAUUCCCGGUGUAGAGGUGAAAUUCGUAGAUAUCGGGAGGAACACCAGUGGCGAAGGCGGCGAUCUGGGAAGAGUACUGACGCUGAGGUGCGAAAGCGUGGGGAGCAAACAGG